CUGGGCGCCGCUGCGAUCGGAGUUGGGCGAGGCUGACGUGCCCCGGGGGCCCCCCUUUGCGCAGUUGGGUCGGUGGGAGGAAACCGCCCCCCUCCCUGGGCACUGCAGCCCCGGCGGAUUGUGGAGCGGGGGUGGGCGCCCCCCAGACGAGAGAGCCCCCCAGAAAAGAGAGGAGCCCCCAACCCGGCCCCCCACCACUCCGCUUGGCCACGGGGCAGGGAGGUCCUGACCUCUUUCAAAUCAAGACCAGAUCAGCUGGGGGAACUGCUGUCUCCACACAUGGACGCAAUAAAUAUUUGCUUUUGCCCCAAAGCCCAAGAAAGAGGGAGGGAAUUUCUGUGCCUUCUGGAGUGAAGAAGAUUUGCAAGAAGGAAGAGAUUUUUUUCCCUGAAGUUUCAGAUGAAAGUUGACUGAGUGGAGAAUUUGUGACACACCUCAGGAGUUCUGACUCCCUGACCCCCCAGAUCUAACCCACUCCCCUCCCAUAGCUUGGGAUUUGAUUAGGGGAUUUGCAGAAGAGGGGAGGCAGAAUUUAAGCUGUGAAGAAACUGCAUUGAUCUGGUGCUGGAGGAAAUGCCGAAUUAGCCGUGAGCGGAAGUUGAGACCGAAGCGGGAUCCGGAGGAAAUUAACAGGAUAAUUGGUUCUAGGAAGAAAUGGAUUGAUGUGAUGCCAUUUCUCAUUGAUCCAAGGCUUGGGUGCUGAGGAGAAAUCAACGGGUCAAUCACAUGGAGGGGAGGUUGGGUCGUUAAUGCUAACAAGAUCAAUCAAUCAAUCAGCUGCUGGCCAUGUGGAAAGGGAUCAGUGAUUGGGAGAAGUCAUGCCGAGUGGAAAUUGAUUGGCGAGUGGGUGCCCACGGGAAAAUCAAUCGGUCAAUGCUGAUCUCCCCCGGGACUUAUUGAUCUGGCAUCUGGUUCGAAGGAGGGAUGGACUGAUUGGUUUGGAGGCGCAAUUGACAAACCAGAGGUCAUUGGAAAGAGGAAACUGGCCACUGACUUGGCACCAGGAAGAUAUCAGUCUCCCUGCUAACAAAGAGGGGACGCAACUGAUCCGAGAUCUGGGGCCGGAAGCAAUUUGGAUCCGAUCACUGGUGUUUGCAGGGCAUAGAACUGACUGCUAUGGGAUGCCCUGUGCAGUAUCGAUUGGCUGAUUGAUCUCCGUGGGGGACGGAUCAGGGAGUUGGGGCCGUGAAACUGAUCAGAGGCCCCUGUGCUCAGAGAGGAGACUGACUAAUUGUUUGGGAAAUUGACCAGUUUCCAGGAGAACUGAGCACCAGAAAAGGGGGCUUGGUUGGACCCUGACCAAUUGAUUGAGCCAGGGUAUUAAUCGAUUGGCUGGUGAGAGGGGGAACCAACCAGCUGAUUGGAGAACUGUAUGGUGAGACGAUUAAUCUUAGACUCCUUGGCCUUGGACGGGAAUUGAUCAGUUUCCAUCCAGUGUGGAAAUUGACCUGAUUGGAGCAGUGCGCCGGCUG
Molecule: long non-coding RNA, 1472 nt
Organism: Pelusios castaneus (West African mud turtle)
Lineage: Eukaryota; Metazoa; Chordata; Testudines; Pelomedusidae
Source: Ensembl